CGAGUGGCGGACGGGUGAGUAACGCGUGGGAAUCUACCUUUUAGUGGGGGAUAGCCCGGAGAAAUCCGGAUUAAUACCGCAUAAGCCCUACGGGGGAAAGCUGGGGAUCUUCGGACCUGGCGCUAUUAGAUGAGCCCGCGUUAGAUUAGCUAGUUGGUGGGGUAAAGGCCUACCAAGGCGACGAUCUAUAGCUGGUCUGAGAGGACGAUCAGCCACACUGGGACUGAGACACGGCCCAG
RNAcentral lists this ribosomal RNA (239 nucleotides) under uncultured bacterium. RNAcentral describes it as "partial 16S ribosomal RNA". It matches the Rfam family "Bacterial small subunit ribosomal RNA", at positions 92 to 334 of the family's 1533-position model. The record is from RNAcentral.